This is a long non-coding RNA of Oreochromis aureus, 1639 nucleotides long. NCBI's taxonomy places the organism in Eukaryota, Metazoa, Chordata, Actinopteri, Cichliformes, Cichlidae. The record is from Ensembl.
CCAGUGGUGAGCUGCACCAGCUGUGACCUAAUGUGGUCCCCCUCAGUUAAGGACAUCCUGGGUAGUGGAUAUUGGCCUGGCACCUUAAAUUUCUGCACCCUGUUUUCAAUGGAUGUCUUUCAGUCUUUCUAUGACAUUAAGAAGGCUGCACCAGGGAUGUCACUUAAGGCAUUUGUCAAAAUGCUGGAUGAAAGAACAGCCCAUUUUGGAAGGACUGGCCGAAUAUCAGCUGAUGCCUUCAGUAAAAGCUUUGUGGAGUGGAGUGCUGUUUGAGAUGGACAGGAUGUGCAAGGAGCCAUGCGUUAGCUGCCCUGCCUGCACUCCAGACGUGCUUGCCGUCUCAGUUGAUGGAAACUGUAAGCUUUAUCGCUUUCAAUCUAAUGCAAGCACUUCAGAGCAGGGGAACUUUGAAGGUGUUUUCAUUGAAAAAGAUGAGGAAGUUGCUGAGUUUAUGAAAUACAUCCAGAGACACACAAAUGAGCGUCCCAGGACAUAUUACGUUCCUUUGCUCCGAUGUGUCCUGUAAAUAUUUCCCAUAUUUAAUCAAGGUGGCUCAGCUGAGGAACCUCUUGUCAAUGCGUCCUUUUCUCUCCGUCAUGCAUGCAAAGGCUCUCAUUUGGAAAUGCGAGAUCAAAUGGGGAGGUGCGUUUCAGGAUGGGGCCGGUUCUACAACAGGAAAAGAGGUGGGACAAGUAAACAGUUUCCUGUCUAGGGCGGCCACUGAAGUACAUGUCUAAAGCAGGUAUGUGUGUGUGUGUGAGAUUCCACUCAGUCUCCUGCUCAUUAAUUCUUAUUUUUAUACGAACUGAAAUGCAGGGCGAACAGACAUGCUGACCCUCCUGGCUUUGGGGUGGAACAAAAGGAAAGUGGAACAACUGGGCCGCAGUUUGAGCCAGAGAUAUCUCAAGAUCAUACGGAUCCUUAGAGAACAAGUGGAGAGCCUGAAUGCGACCAAAAAUGAGCUGGGUGUGGAUGACGACACACUGCAGCAAUGGGUGGCCGAUGUGCAGAAAUGGGCUGAAGAAACUGAUCAAACUGAUGGCAGCCUUGGAGCGUUGCAGGCACGAAUAGAGGAGCUUGUCGUCAUCAUCAGAGUGCGAACACAAGGUUUUUACAGACAAAAUGAUAGCAACAAGAGGCGACACAGAAUUCGCAAGGUCAUCUUAGAUGAGAAGAAACGCUUGGCGGCUGCUGUUGACGACCACAACAAGCUUGCUGAACCAACAAAGCAAAUUGUAUCCAGUGAUGCCCUCAUCCAGACCGACAUUUGGCUCUGGCAGAGCACAAGUGAACCUGCUGCAGACCUCCAGACAAAGAGGUCUUUGAGAAGGUGAUGGCUGUGAGGCGCCUGAGAGAGGAGGAGAUGAUCCUUUGCAGGGAGAUGCGGCAUCACUGGACAGUGUUGCGAAUGCGAUCUGUGGUGUUGGACAAUCUCCUCAGACUCCUCCCUUGUUGGCAUGUCGGAGGAUGCACAGAAGGGACUCCAUAGCCUGGUUUUAAAAAAACAAAGUGAACUGAAAGCUGAAAUGCUCAAAGUAAAGGACAUGUACAAGAGAAUCCUCAGCCACCAACCACUCCUGGAAAUGGACUCGGAGGAGGAGGAGGACAUUCCAGACGAUGCCACUGAGCGUGAUUUGAG